GAUGAACGCUGGCGGCGUGCUUAACACAUGCAAGUCGAACGGAGUGCCUUUGAAAGAGGAUUCGUCCAAUUGAUAAGGUUACUUAGUGGCGGACGGGUGAGUAACGCGUGAGGAACCUGCCUUGGAGUGGGGAAUAACACAGUGAAAAUUGUGCUAAUACCGCAUAAGCCCACAGCUCGGCAUCGAGCAGAGGGAAAAGGAGUGAUCCGCUUUGAGAUGGCCUCGCGUCCGAUUAGCUGGUUGGUGAGGUAACGGCCCACCAAGGCGACGAUCGGUAGCCGGACUGAGAGGUUGACCGGCCACAUUGGGACUGAGAUACGGCCCAG
This 326-nucleotide ribosomal RNA is filed under the name uncultured bacterium. RNAcentral describes it as "bacterial SSU rRNA". It matches the Rfam family "Bacterial small subunit ribosomal RNA", at positions 28 to 334 of the family's 1533-position model. The record is from RNAcentral.